RNAcentral lists this ribosomal RNA (420 nucleotides) under uncultured bacterium. RNAcentral's name for it is "bacterial SSU rRNA". It matches the Rfam family "Bacterial small subunit ribosomal RNA", at positions 356 to 773 of the family's 1533-position model. The record is from RNAcentral.
AAGGAAUAUUGGGCAAUGGUCGAAAGACUGACCCAGCCAUGCCGCGUGCAGGAUGAAGGCCCUAUGGGUUGUAAACUGCUUUUAGCCGGGAAUAAACACCCGUUUUAUAACGGGCCCGAAGGUACCGGCUGAAUAAGCAUCGGCUAACUCCGUGCCAGCAGCCGCGGUAAUACGGAGGAUGCAAGCGUUAUCCGGAUUCACUGGGUUUAAAGGGUGCGCAGGCGGACAUUUAAGUCAGGGGUGAAAUCCUACAGCUUAACUGUAGAACUGCCCUUGAUACUGAAUGCCUAGAGUAAAGCUGAAGUGGGCGGAAUGUGUUGUGUAGCGGUGAAAUGCUUAGAUAUAACACAGAACACCAAUCGCGAAGGCAGCUCACUAAACUUUAACUGACGCUCAUGCACGAAAGCGUGGGGAGCAAAC